CAGAGGGCAUUGCAAAAGGCAAGCCUGCAAAGCCUUCUUUUGAAGCAAAUCUCACUCUCUCCAUUCCACAAAAAAAAAAAAUACUCAGUUAAUUAGAUAAAUAUACUCCAAUGGAAAAAGCUAUGGAACAACAAAACUCAGAAACAUCAAAGCUACCGGAACAGGUAUAUCUAUUUAUAAUUAUGAAUAGCUAAUUUCAUAAUUCCCAACAAUCAUGAUAUGAUAAAAUAAAUUCAUAUUAGUUACUUUAUAGUAGAAUUAUUCGAAGAAUAAUAUGUUAAGAAGUUUAUUAACAAAGAGGAAACAGAGAAAUAUCCCUAACAUAUACCACCUAAUUAUAAUAAAAUUAGAUUGGGCAAUCAUAUGGUCAUCAUUUGUAAUAUGAGAUUUUUUUGUGAGAGUGAGCGCAACUUGAUUCUUGUACCCAGUGUGCUAGAAAUAAAUUUUUGUAAGCGAUUAUGGGUAACUCUUUUGUUGUGAGG
This 482-nucleotide long non-coding RNA is filed under the name Capsicum annuum. RNAcentral describes it as "long non-coding RNA (CANN_LNC021391)". The record is from RNAcentral. Lineage: Eukaryota; Viridiplantae; Streptophyta; Magnoliopsida; Solanales; Solanaceae.